UACGUAGGGCGCAAGCGUUAUCCGGAAUUAUUGGGCGUAAAGAGCUCGUAGGCGGUUUGUCGCGUCUGCCGUGAAAGUCCGGGGCUCAACUCCGGAUCUGCGGUGGGUACGGGCAGACUAGAGUGAUGUAGGGGAGACUGGAAUUCCUGGUGUAGCGGUGAAAUGCGCAGAUAUCAGGAAGAACACCGGUGGCGAAGGCGGGUCUCUGGGCCGAUACUGACGCUGAGGAGCGAAAGCGUGGGGAGCGAACAGG
Molecule: ribosomal RNA, 253 nt
Filed under: uncultured bacterium
Lineage: Bacteria
Description: partial 16S ribosomal RNA
Rfam family: Bacterial small subunit ribosomal RNA
Source: RNAcentral